GAAGAUAUAGCUCAGGGUAGAGUGCAUGCCUAGCAUGCACAAGGUCCUGGGUACAAUCCCCAGUAUCGCCA
This 71-nucleotide transfer RNA is filed under the name Camelus bactrianus (Bactrian camel). It matches the Rfam family "tRNA". From Rfam's summary of the family: Transfer RNA (tRNA) molecules are approximately 80 nucleotides in length. Their secondary structure includes four short double-helical elements and three loops (D, anti-codon, and T loops). Lineage: Eukaryota; Metazoa; Chordata; Mammalia; Artiodactyla; Camelidae. The record is from Rfam by way of RNAcentral. RNAcentral also lists the same sequence under 1 other name.